This 1439-nucleotide ribosomal RNA is filed under the name uncultured marine bacterium. RNAcentral's name for it is "bacterial SSU rRNA". It matches the Rfam family "Bacterial small subunit ribosomal RNA". The record is from RNAcentral.
ACGCUGGCGGCGUGCUUAACACAUGCAAGUCGAACGAUGAAGCUGGAGCUUGCUCCAGUGGAUUAGUGGCGAACGGGUGAGUAACACGUGAGAAAUCUGCCCCUGACUCUGGGAUAACUGCGGGAAACUGUAGCUAAUACCGGAUACUUUCCCCGGUGGGCAUCCACUGGGGAAGAAAGAAUUUCGGUCAGGGAGGAUCUCGCGGCCUAUCAGCUUGUUGGUGAGGUAACGGCUCACCAAGGCGACGACGGGUAACCGGCCUGAGAGGGUGACCGGUCACACUGGGACUGAGACACGGCCCAGACUCCUACGGGAGGCAGCAGUGGGGAAUAUUGCACAAUGGGCGCAAGCCUGAUGCAGCAACGCCGCGUGAGGGAUGACGGCCUUCGGGUUGUAAACCUCUUUUAGCAGGGAAGAAGCGAAAGUGACGGUACCUGCAGAAAAAGCACCGGCUAACUACGUGCCAGCAGCCGCGGUAAUACGUAGGGUGCAAGCGUUGUCCGGAAUUAUUGGGCGUAAAGAGCUCGUAGGCGGUUUGUCACGUCUGCUGUGAAAAUCCAAGGCUCAACCCUUGGACUUGCAGUGGGUACGGGCAGGCUAGAGUGCGGUAGGGGAGAUGGGAAUUCCUGGUGUAGCGGUGGAAUGCGCAGAUAUCAGGAGGAACACCAAUGGCGAAGGCACAUCUCUGGGCCGUAACUGACGCUGAGGAGCGAAAGCGUGGGGAGCGAACAGGAUUAGAUACCCUGGUAGUCCACGCCGUAAACGGUGGGUGCUAGCUGUGGGCCACAUUCCACGUGGUCCGUGACGAAGUUAACACAUUAAGCACCCCGCCUGGGGAGUACGGCCGCAAGGCUAAAACUCAAAGGAAUUGACGGGGACCCGCACAAGCGGCGGAGCAUGCGGAUUAAUUCGAUGCAACGCGAAGAACCUUACCAAGGCUUGACAUAUAGAGGAAAAGUGCAGAAAUGCACUCCCCGCAAGGUCUCUAUACAGGUGGUGCAUGGUUGUCGUCAGCUCGUGUCGUGAGAUGUUGGGUUAAGUCCCGCAACGAGCGCAACCCUCGUCCUAUGUUGCCAGCACGUUAUGGUGGGAACUCAUGGGAUACUGCCGGGGUCAACUCGGAGGAAGGUGGGGAUGACGUCAAAUCAUCAUGCCCCUUAUGUCUUGGGCUUCACGCAUGCUACAAUGGCCGGUACAGAGGGCUGCAAUACCGUAAGGUGGAGCGAAUCCCAAAAAGCCGGUCUCAGUUCGGAUUGAGGUCUGCAACUCGACCUCAUGAAGUCGGAGUCGCUAGUAAUCGUAGAUCAGCAACGCUACGGUGAAUACGUUCCCGGGCCUUGUACACACCGCCCGUCAAGUCACGAAAGUCGAUAACACCCGAAGCCGGUGGCCUAACCGCAAGGAGGGAGCCGUCGAAGGUGGGAUUGGUGAUUGGGACU